UACAGAGGUGCCGAGCGUUAGGCGGAAUCACUGGGCUUAAAGCGUGUGUAGGCGGACCGUUAAGUACCUUGUGAAAUCCCACGGCUCAACCGUGGAACGGCUGGGUAUACUGGCGGUCUUGAGGCACCUAGGGGCAGAUGGAACAGACGGUGGAGCGGUGAAAUGCGUAGAUAUCGUCUGGAACGCCAAUGGUGAAAACAGUCUGCUGGGGGUGUGCUGACGCUGAGACACGAAAGCCAGGGGAGCAAACGGG
This 253-nucleotide ribosomal RNA is filed under the name uncultured bacterium. RNAcentral describes it as "partial 16S ribosomal RNA". It matches the Rfam family "Bacterial small subunit ribosomal RNA", at positions 524 to 776 of the family's 1533-position model. The record is from RNAcentral.